GCCUACGGGAGGCAGCAGUGGGGAAUUUUCCGCAAUGGGCGAAAGCCUGACGGGAGCAAUGCCGCGUGGAGGUAGGAAGGCCUACGGGUCGUGGAACUUCUUUUCCCGGAGAAGAAGCAAUGACGUAUCUGGAAAA
Molecule: ribosomal RNA, 136 nt
Filed under: cyanobacterium enrichment culture
Lineage: Bacteria; Bacillati; Cyanobacteriota
Description: partial 16S ribosomal RNA
Rfam family: Bacterial small subunit ribosomal RNA
Source: RNAcentral